This 30-nucleotide non-coding RNA is filed under the name Rattus norvegicus (Norway rat). The record is from RNAcentral. Lineage: Eukaryota; Metazoa; Chordata; Mammalia; Rodentia; Muridae.
UAGCACAGCUAACGCAACCCUAGCAUGUUU